This 465-nucleotide non-coding RNA is filed under the name Pan troglodytes (chimpanzee). Lineage: Eukaryota; Metazoa; Chordata; Mammalia; Primates; Hominidae. The record is from RNAcentral.
UGAGAUGGAGUCUCACUCUGUCGCCCAGGCUGGAAUGCAAUGGCACAAUCUCGGCUCACCGCAACCUCUGACUCCCAGGUUCAAGCCAUUCUCCCUGUCUCAGCUUCCUGAGUAGCUGGGAUUACAGUCUGGGUGACAGAGAUUGAUUCUGUCUUAAAUAAAUAAAUAAAUAGUUGUAUCGCAUAUAUGGAGGAAAGAAAUGAUAAAGAAGAAAAAUUACAAGGUUACUAAUGAUUUCUUUUCAGCUAAGCUUUUGGUAAUGCUCAUCUUUUAAUGUUCUUUGGCAAACAGAAAUCAAACAAUUUUUACAACUGUUAUUAAUAUGCCUAAAGCAGUAUAGCAAAACAUUUUUCAUAAAAAAAGAGCAUUAUAAAAUCCUUAAAUAUUUAGGAUAGUUAUACACUUCAACUUCUCUAUUUAAGGGGUGGAGAAGAUGGAGAUUGAUGGAACAUGCCUAUUUUCUGA